RNAcentral lists this unclassified non-coding RNA (182 nucleotides) under fungal sp. RNAcentral's name for it is "partial internal transcribed spacer region". The stretch from base 1 to 46 matches the Rfam family "Eukaryotic small subunit ribosomal RNA", at positions 1786 to 1831 of the family's 1831-position model. Lineage: Eukaryota; Fungi. The record is from RNAcentral.
AAGUCGUAACAAGGUAACCGUAGGUGAACCUGCGGUUGGAUCAUUAGCGGGCCGAGAUUUGCGUUUUUGUUGUGUCUUGUCUAGUGUCGUCGUGUCACGUCGACACCAGAUCAAUCGGAACCCUUUGCUUAGACUUGAUUUUGUAAAAAAAACAACUUUUGACAACGGAUCUCUUGGCUCUC